This 334-nucleotide ribosomal RNA is filed under the name uncultured bacterium. Its description in RNAcentral is "bacterial SSU rRNA". It matches the Rfam family "Bacterial small subunit ribosomal RNA", at positions 594 to 926 of the family's 1533-position model. The record is from RNAcentral.
GUGAAAGCCCACGGCUCAACCGUGGAAGCGCAUUUGAAACUGGCAGGCUUGAGUACCCNAGGGGAAAGUGGAAUUCCCGGCGUAGAGGUGAAAUUCGUAGAUAUCGGGAGGAAUACCGGUGGCGAAGGCGACUUUCUGGCUGGAUACUGACGCUGAGACGCGAAAGCGCGGGGAGCAAACAGGAUUAGAUACCCUGGUAGUCCGCGCCGUAAACGAUGUGAACUGGAUGCAGGGGGUGUUGAUCCCCUCUGUGUCGCAGCCAACGCGCUAAGUUCACCGCCUGGGGAGUACGGCCGCAAGGUUAAAACUCAAAGGAAUUGACGGGGGCCCGCAC